Molecule: ribosomal RNA, 253 nt
Filed under: uncultured bacterium
Lineage: Bacteria
Description: partial 16S ribosomal RNA
Rfam family: Bacterial small subunit ribosomal RNA
Source: RNAcentral
UACGUAGGGUGCAAGCGUUAAUCGGAAUUACUGGGCGUAAAGCGUGCGCAGGCGGUUUUGUAAGUCUGUCGUGAAAGCCCCGGGCUUAACCUGGGAAUGGCAAUGGAGACUGCAAGGCUAGAGUUUGGCAGAGGGGGGUAGAAUUCCACGUGUAGCAGUGAAAUGCGUAGAUAUGUGGAGGAACACCGAUGGCGAAGGCAGCCCCCUGGGUCAAGAUUGACGCUCAUGCACGAAAGCGUGGGGAGCAAACAGG